UACGUAGGGGGCUAGCGUUGUCCGGAUUUAUUGGGCGUAAAGAGCGUGUAGGCGGCCAUGUAGGUCCGGUGUGAAAACUCGAGGCUUAACCUCGAGAUGUCAUCGGAAACCAUUUGGCUAGAGUCCGGAAGAGGAGAGUGGAAUUCCUGGUGUAGCGGUGAAAUGCGCAGAUAUCAGGAAGAACACCAAUGGCGAAAGCAGCUCUCUGGGACGGUACUGACGCUGAGGGACGAAAGCUAGGGGAGCGAAUGGG
RNAcentral lists this ribosomal RNA (253 nucleotides) under uncultured bacterium. RNAcentral describes it as "partial 16S ribosomal RNA". It matches the Rfam family "Bacterial small subunit ribosomal RNA", at positions 524 to 776 of the family's 1533-position model. The record is from RNAcentral.